This 177-nucleotide ribosomal RNA is filed under the name uncultured bacterium. Its description in RNAcentral is "partial 16S ribosomal RNA". It matches the Rfam family "Bacterial small subunit ribosomal RNA", at positions 338 to 531 of the family's 1533-position model. The record is from RNAcentral.
CCUACGGGAGGCAGCAGCUUAGGAAUAUUGGACAAUGGGCGAAAGCCUGAUCCAGCCAUGCCGCGUGUGUGACGAAGGCCUUAGGGUUGUAAAGCACUUUNGUUGGGGAUGAUAAUGANCGUACCCAAAGAANAANCCNAGGAUAAAUUCGUGCCAGNAGCCGCNGNAAUAAUUACU